AAUCCCGGGACCCAUCGAGUUUUUGAACGCNAGUUGCGCCCGAAGCCACUAAGCUUAGGGCACGUCUGCCUGGGCGUCACGCAUCUAGUCGCCACCCCCUCUCGAUAUCACGUNUGGGGUGACGAAUGUUGGCUCUCCGUGCUCUUGAGGCGCGGUAUGCCUAAAUCUGAGUCUCUGGCGCGAGACGUCACGGCAAGUGGUGGUUGAAUUCAUCAACUCGUGUGCUGUCGUGACAACGCCGGACACGGACUCCNUCGACCCUAAAGCCCUCGGCCCGAAUUUGAGUCGCGUGCCUUCGACCGCGACCCCAGGUCAGGCGGGAUUACCCGCUGAGUUUAAGCNUAUCAAUAAGCGGA
RNAcentral lists this ribosomal RNA (356 nucleotides) under Psychotria brasiliensis. Its description in RNAcentral is "eukaryotic LSU rRNA". The stretch from base 1 to 79 matches the Rfam family "5.8S ribosomal RNA", at positions 78 to 154 of the family's 154-position model. Lineage: Eukaryota; Viridiplantae; Streptophyta; Magnoliopsida; Gentianales; Rubiaceae. The record is from RNAcentral.